AGUGAACGCUGGCGGUAGGCCUAACACAUGCAAGUCGAACGGCAGCACAGUAAGAGCUUGCUCUUACUGGUGGCGAGUGGCGGACGGGUGAGGAAUACAUCGGCAUCUACUUUUUCGUGGGGGAUAACGUAGGGCCACUUACGCUACUACCUCAUACGACCUACGGCUGAAAGCAGGAGAUCUUCGGACCUUUCGUGAUUGUAUUAGCUGAUGUCGGAUUAGCUAGUUGGCGGGGUAAAGGCCCACCAAGGCGACGAUCCGUAGCUGGUCUGAGAGGAUGAUCAGCCACACUGGAACUGAGACACGGUCCAGACUCCUACGGGAGGCAGCAGUGGGGAAUAUUGGACAAUGGGCGCAAGCCUGAUCCAGCCAUACCGCGUGGGUGAAGAAGGCCUUCGGGUUGUAAAGCCCUUUUGUUGGGAAAGAAAAGCAGCAGGUUAAUACCCCGCUGUUCUGACGGUACCCAAAGAAUAAGCACCGGCUAACUUCGUG
RNAcentral lists this ribosomal RNA (492 nucleotides) under uncultured bacterium. Its description in RNAcentral is "partial 16S ribosomal RNA". It matches the Rfam family "Bacterial small subunit ribosomal RNA", at positions 29 to 507 of the family's 1533-position model. The record is from RNAcentral.